RNAcentral lists this ribosomal RNA (197 nucleotides) under uncultured bacterium. RNAcentral's name for it is "partial 16S ribosomal RNA". It matches the Rfam family "Bacterial small subunit ribosomal RNA", at positions 328 to 539 of the family's 1533-position model. The record is from RNAcentral.
ACGCUCGACACCUACGGGAGCAGCAGUGGGGAAUAUUGCACAAUGGGGGAAACCCUGAUGCAGCGACGCCGCGUGAGCGAAGAAGUAUUUCGGUAUGUAAAGCUCUAUCAGCAGGGAAGAAAAUGACGGUACCUGACUAAGAAGCCCCGGCUAACUACGUGCCAGCAGCCGUGGUAAUCUGAGCGGGCUGGCAAGGC